UGCUACAAUGGCGCAUACAAAGAGAAGCGACCUCGCGAGAGCAAGCGGACCUCAUAAAGUGCGUCGUAGUCCGGAUUGGAGUCUGCAACUCGACUCCAUGAAGUCGGAAUCGCUAGUAAUCGUGGAUCAGAAUGCCACGGUGAAUACGUUCCCGGGCCUUGUACACACCGCCCGUCACCACCAUGGGAGUGGGUUGCAAAAGAAGUAGGUAGCUUAACCUUCGGGAGGGCGCUUACCACUUGUGAUUCAUGACUGGGGUGAAGUCGUAACAAGGUAACCGUAGGGGAACCUGCGGUUGGAUCACCUCCUUA
RNAcentral lists this ribosomal RNA (311 nucleotides) under Escherichia coli. RNAcentral's name for it is "partial 16S ribosomal RNA". It matches the Rfam family "Bacterial small subunit ribosomal RNA", at positions 1223 to 1533 of the family's 1533-position model. The record is from RNAcentral. Lineage: Bacteria; Pseudomonadati; Pseudomonadota; Gammaproteobacteria; Enterobacterales; Enterobacteriaceae.